UUUCCGUAGGUGAACCUGCGGAAGGAUCAUUAUUGGAUUUUGAAACUUCAGGCUGCUGCUGGCUCUCCUCGGAGGGCAUGUGCACGCUUGUUGCCCAUUAUUUCUCCCACUGUGCACAAAUUGUAGACCUUUCAGUAGGCCUAUGUUGUUUUUCACAAUCUCUGAAUGUAAUAGAAUGGUUUUGAAUCUUGGGAAAUACAAUACAACUUUCAGCAACGGAUCUCUUGGCUCUC
This 233-nucleotide unclassified non-coding RNA is filed under the name plant metagenome. RNAcentral describes it as "partial contains small subunit ribosomal RNA, internal transcribed spacer 1, and 5.8S ribosomal RNA". The record is from RNAcentral.